UAUAAUAAUAGAAAUGAUGCUACCUUCUUGGUUUAAAUUUUUGCAUAUGGCCAUCUCCGUCUCCUCCUUCUGCAAGUUUGGAGGUGAGUUACAUGUCCUUUUUCUUUGUGUAUCUUGUAAUUUAUUAUCUAUAGGUUGGAAUGUUUGUCAACCUAAUCUACUCACCGUUGGUGUUUACGUAAAUAUCUACUUUUUAAAACUUAUGUAAAUUCUAAUAAUGAAAUUCGCAUUCUAUAUUGUUAAGUCACUAUCUUGAAAGAUUUUUAUAUCGUAUGUGAGCUAAGGAUUGUUAUUUAUAGCGCUCGGCUUAUAUGUAGAGGUUUUAUUUUAUUUUUUUAAUUCAAAUAUGGUUAAUUAUAUAUGGUUUAGUUGAUGUUCCCUAUGCAUGCAGUGUGGUAAGACCAACUUCCAUGAAAGAACAUGUCCCUAAGAACUUACUCUUGGAGGUUAUGUGGUACAUAUGCAACGUAUGGAGUUGUUUAGGAUGGGAUCAACUUCUGAAGUUCUAUAGACCACAUAGACGAGGAUUCCCCUUGCAUAGAUGCCAUAUUCAGGCCGACCCUUACCCAAGACAAUCUAAUAGGAAAAUUACCUAGAAACCUACAUUUAAAGACUAAUUUUCAAAAAUAAGGAUGAUUAAUUUUCAUUUCACAAAUCAGGUGUUAAUUAGAUUUAAUAAUUAAUGAAAAUUUAACUAAACCAACGUACCACCGCUCAUUCCACCCAUUUCCUUCCCAAAUCCAAGCCCCAGAUAUUUUCAUUUUCCCACCUCUCUCUCUCUACAACCACCCACCUAACCAUCUCCCUUUUCGACACAGUGAAGCCCAUUCCAUCCCUAUUUCAUUCCCAAAUCCAAGCCCCAUAUAUUUUCAUUUUCCCACAUCUUUUUUCGCCCUAUCCUCUCUCUCUCUCUCUCUUUCUCUACCACCACCUACCCAACCAUCUCCCUUUUCGACGCAGUGAAG
Molecule: long non-coding RNA, 965 nt
Filed under: Olea europaea subsp. europaea
Lineage: Eukaryota; Viridiplantae; Streptophyta; Magnoliopsida; Lamiales; Oleaceae
Source: RNAcentral